Molecule: ribosomal RNA, 596 nt
Filed under: uncultured bacterium
Lineage: Bacteria
Description: bacterial SSU rRNA
Rfam family: Bacterial small subunit ribosomal RNA (bases 1-517)
Source: RNAcentral
CCUACGGGAGGCAGCAGUGGGGAAUCUUGCGCAAUGGGCGAAAGCCUGACGCAGCCAUGCCGCGUGAAUGAUGAAGGUCUUAGGAUUGUAAAAUUCUUUCACCGAGGACGAUAAUGACGGUACUCGGAGAAGAAGCCCCGGCUAACUUCGUGCCAGCAGCCGCGGUAAUACGAAGGGGGCUAGCGUUGCUCGGAAUUACUGGGCGUAAAGGGAGCGUAGGCGGAUAGUUUAGUCAGAGGUGAAAGCCCAGGGCUCAACCUUGGAAUUGCCUUUGAUACUGGCUAUCUUGAGUACGGAAGAGGUAUGUGGAACUCCGAGUGUAGAGGUGAAAUUCGUAGAUAUUCGGAAGAACACCAGUGGCGAAGGCGACAUACUGGUCCGUUACUGACGCUGAGGCUCGAAAGCGUGGGGAGCAAACAGGAUUAGAUACCCUGGUAGUCCACGCUGUAAACGAUGAGUGCUAGUUGUCGGCAUGCAUGCAUGUCGGUGACGCAGCUACGCAUAAGUACACUCCGCCGUCGGGGUAGGUACGGUCGCGAGAUUAAACGUACAAGAAGUAGACGCGNGAGACGNGCGAGACGACGACGAGGGAGAGG